RNAcentral lists this ribosomal RNA (484 nucleotides) under uncultured bacterium. RNAcentral's name for it is "bacterial SSU rRNA". It matches the Rfam family "Bacterial small subunit ribosomal RNA", at positions 30 to 507 of the family's 1533-position model. The record is from RNAcentral.
UUGAACGCUGGCGGCAUGCCUUACACAUGCAAGUCGAACGGCAGGACACGGGAGCAAUCCUGGUGGCGAGUGGCGAACGGGUGAGUAAUAUAUCGGAACGUGCCCAGUCGUGGGGGAUAACGUAGCGAAAGCUACGCUAAUACCGCAUACGAUCUACGGAUGAAANCGGGGGAUCGCAAGACCUCGCGCGAUUGGAGCGGCCGAUAUCAGAUUAGGUAGUUGGUGAGGUAAAGGCUCACCAAGCCGACGAUCUGUAGCUGGUCUGAGAGGACGACCAGCCACACUGGGACUGAGACACGGCCCAGACUCCUACGGGAGGCAGCAGUGGGAAUUUUGGACAAUGGGCGCAAGCCUGAUCCAGCAAUGCCGCGUGCAGGAUGAAGGCCUUCGGGUUGUAAACUGCUUUUGUACGGAACGAAACGGUGAGCUCUAAUACAGUUUGCUAAUGACGGUACCGUAAGAAUAAGCACCGGCUAACUACGUG